GAUGAACGCUGGCGGCGUGCCUAAUACAUGCAAGUCGAGCGAACGGACGAGAGGCUUGCUUCUCUGAUGUUAGCGGCGGACGGGUGAGUAACACGUGGAUAACCUACCUAUAAGACUGGGAUAACUUCGGGAAACCGGAGCUAAUACCGGAUGAUAUUUUGAACCGCAUGGUUCAAAAGUGAAAGACGGUUUUGCUGUCACUUAUAGAUGGAUCCGCGCUGCAUUAGCUAGUUGGUAAGGUAACGGCUUACCAAGGCAACGAUGCGUAGCCGACCUGAGAGGGUGAUCGGCCACACUGGAACUGAGACACGGUCCAGACUCCUACGGGAGGCAGCAGUAGGGAAUCUUCCGCAAUGGGCGAAAGCCUGACGGAGCAACGCCGCGUGAGUGAUGAAGGUCUUCGGAUCGUAAAACUCUGUUAUUAGGGAAGAACAUAUGUGUAAGUAACUGUGCACGUCUUGACGGUACCUAAUCAGAAAGCCACGGCUAACUACGUG
RNAcentral lists this ribosomal RNA (497 nucleotides) under uncultured bacterium. RNAcentral's name for it is "partial 16S ribosomal RNA". It matches the Rfam family "Bacterial small subunit ribosomal RNA", at positions 28 to 507 of the family's 1533-position model. The record is from RNAcentral.